AAGUCCGCGACCGCAAGGAGCGGCCACAGGCGAAACCGGUACUUGGGGCUAAGUCGUAACAAGCUAGCAGUACCGGAAGGUGUGGCUGGAACACCUCCUUU
RNAcentral lists this ribosomal RNA (101 nucleotides) under Bacteroidales bacterium. RNAcentral describes it as "partial 16S ribosomal RNA". It matches the Rfam family "Bacterial small subunit ribosomal RNA", at positions 1424 to 1533 of the family's 1533-position model. Lineage: Bacteria; Pseudomonadati; Bacteroidota; Bacteroidia; Bacteroidales. The record is from RNAcentral.